Molecule: ribosomal RNA, 1089 nt
Filed under: uncultured Symbiodinium
Lineage: Eukaryota; Dinophyceae; Suessiales; Symbiodiniaceae
Description: partial Bacterial large subunit ribosomal RNA
Rfam family: Bacterial large subunit ribosomal RNA
Source: RNAcentral
UGGAAGGGCAUUUAGUGGAUGCCUUGGCGAUAAGAGGCGAUGAAGGACGUGGUACGCUGCGUUAAGCCAUGGGGAGCUGCGAACAAGCUUUGAUCCAUGGAUAUCCGAAUGGGGAAACCCGGCCCGCAAGGGUCAUCAUUAUCUGAAUACAUAGGGUAAUGAGGCGAACCUGGGGAACUGAAACAUCUAAGUACCCAGAGGAAAGGACAUCAAUUGAGACUUCCUUAGUAGUGGCGAGCGAACGGGAACCAGGCCAGUGUCUCUUCUUGAGUCAGCGGAACGAUCUGGAAAGUUCGGCCAUAGCGGGUGAUAGCCCCGUACGUUAAAGCGAUUGAAGAGACCUCGAGUAGGGCGGGACACGUGAAAUCCUGUCUGAACAUGGGGGGACCAUCCUCCAAGCCUAAGUACUCCUUAUCGACCGAUAGUGAACAAGUACCGUGAGGGAAAGGUGAAAAGCACCCCGACGAGGGGAGUGAAACAGUUCCUGAAACUGGAUGCCUACAAACAGUUGGAGCCCAAGGUUCGUCCUGGGUGACAGCGUACCUUUUGUAUAAUGGGUCAGCGAGUUAAUUUUGCGAGCAAGCUUAAGCCGUUAGGUGUAGGCGUAGCGAAAGCGAGUCUUAAUAGGGCGACUAAGUUUGUUGGAUUAGACCCGAAACCGAGUGAUCUAGGUAUGAGCAGGUUGAAGGUGCAGUAACAUGCACUGGAGGACCGAACCCACGCCUGUUGAAAAAGGCGGGGAUGACUUGUGCCUAGGGGUGAAAGGCCAAUCAAACUCGGAAAUAGCUGGUUCUCCGCGAAAUCUAUUUAGGUAGAGCGUCGGAUGAAUACUCUCGGGGGUAGAGCACUGGAUGGGCUAUGGGGGCUUACCGCCUUACUGAUCCUAACCAAACUCCGAAUACCGAGAAGUACUAUCCGGCAGACACACAGUGGGUGCUAACGUCCAUUGUGGAGAGGGAAACAACCCUGACCGCCAGUUAAGGUCCCUAAGUUAUGGCUAAGUGGGAAAGGAUGUAGGAAGGCCAAGACAACCAGGAGGUUGGCUUAGAAGCAGCCACCCUUUAAAGAAAGCGUAACAGCUCACUGGUC